UACGUAGGUGGCAAGCGUUGUCCGGAUUUACUGGGCGUAAAGAGCGCGCAGGCGGUCGUUCAAGUCGCGUGUGAAAGCCCCCGGCUCAACCGUGGAGGGUCAUUGGAAACUGGGGGACUUGAGUACAGAAGAGAAGAGUGGAAUUCCACGUGUAGCGGUGAAAUGCGUAGAGAUGUGGAGGAACACCAGUGGCGAAGGCGACUCUUUGGUCUGUAACUGACGCUGAGGCGCGAAAGCGUGGGGAGCAAACAGG
RNAcentral lists this ribosomal RNA (253 nucleotides) under uncultured bacterium. Its description in RNAcentral is "partial 16S ribosomal RNA". It matches the Rfam family "Bacterial small subunit ribosomal RNA", at positions 524 to 776 of the family's 1533-position model. The record is from RNAcentral.